Pangasianodon gigas (Mekong giant catfish) is the source of this 72-nucleotide non-coding RNA. Lineage: Eukaryota; Metazoa; Chordata; Actinopteri; Siluriformes; Pangasiidae. The record is from the annotation of a GenBank genome assembly.
UCCCUGGAGGACUAGUGGUUAGACCACGGCGCUCUCACCGCUGCGGCCCUGGCUCGAUUCCCGGCCAGGUAC